GAGCUUGGCAAACCGAGCAAUCUUGGAAAGCACUGUUCUUAAACUUCGGAUACCAGCUCCAGAUUUUGAGCUUACCAUCAUCACAGGUUGAACUAUAGACUUGUUUGCCUUGAGGCUCUCUUCAAUUUGCGUUGCACGGCGUGCCACAUCAAUUGGAAAUAUUACAUCUGUCUUGGUCAAUACAAUCUGAUAUUUGGUCUGAGAUCUUUCCAUUAAAUCAAUGAGUUCAUGGUCUCUUGGCUUCAUACCCCAUUUUGUGUCAAUAAGAAGACAUACUCGUUUUAAACUAACUCUGGUGGAAACAUACUCCUUCACAAGCUCCUCCCAAGCAUCUUUAACUUCUUCUUUUGCAUAUGCAAAUCCAUAUCCAGGCAAAUCAACCAAACUGACCUUUGACCCCAGCUUGAAGAAAUUAAUAGUCUGAGUAAGGCCAGGCUUGUCUGAUGUCCGUACAACACCCCAUUGUCUAGUGAGUGCAUUUAGAAGUGAUGACUUCCCAACAUUUGACCUUCCUGCAAAUGCAAUCUCUGGAAGAUCAGGAGAAGGGAACGAAGAUGAAACUUUUGCAGCGGCAAAAAAUGUCAAUUUGUUCCUAAAAAUAUUUUCUUCAAUCCGUUCUCUCUCAGAGCUUGUACAGAAAGGAAUGUUAUCUAAUGGGGCAGAUAACUCGAUGUUGUAGCCUGCCCUUUUUAGCUCAAUCAAUCGUCUACGGCCUAAAAAAUUAUCUUCCACAAAGGAAAGCAUAGAAGGGCCAGGUUUUAUCGCACGGAAUUGUGCAUUCUUUGACAUUUCAGCUUCUGUCUCAGAUUCUUUUUUCUUCUUUUGCACACUCUCAUUAGUAACUAUUCCAUCAUCUAGCCGUUUAUUUGAGAUGUCAUGUGGAUCUAACCGAAUUACACGCUUUUUCUUCUUUGGCUGGCCAUCUAUGUCUGAAUCACCAUUGGCAAUGCUUUGUUUGUUCUGCACUGUUUUCUUUGAAGAUGUCAAAUUAGGUACAAUAGGAUGCUUGGUUUGAAUUUGAACCAAGCGCUUACUUGAGUCCAAUUUGCUUUUGGAUUGUUUCUUCGGUAAAUCAUACUUGUCAACACCCACUUUACCCUCUUUCCUCGCCCUGGUACUCCGUUUACCACUGGACACCUGUGCACUUUCUGUUGCAUCUACAACAUCAAAAGAAGGAUGUUUUUUU
This 1186-nucleotide unclassified non-coding RNA is filed under the name Hevea brasiliensis (rubber tree). The record is from RNAcentral. Lineage: Eukaryota; Viridiplantae; Streptophyta; Magnoliopsida; Malpighiales; Euphorbiaceae.